GUAGGUGAACCUGCGGAAGGAUCAUUACUGAGUUCAUGCCCUAACGGGUAGAUCUCCCACCCUUGAAUAUAUAAACCUUUGUUGCUUUGGCGGGCCGCUUCGGCUACCGGCUUCGGCUGGUGAGUGCCCGCCAGAGGACCCAAACUCUAAUGUUUCUUAUUGUAACUUCUGAGUAAAACAAACAAAUAAAUCAAAACUUUCAACAACGGAUCUCUUGGUUCUG
RNAcentral lists this unclassified non-coding RNA (223 nucleotides) under rhizosphere metagenome. RNAcentral's name for it is "partial ribosomal RNA internal transcribed spacer region". The record is from RNAcentral.